GAUUCCUCCCCGUCCUAUUCUCUCUCUUGGUUGCUCCACUCAAGCCCCAGAGGCCACCGUGCUCUGCCUGGAGCACACCAGGCAUCCCCUGAUUGAGAGCUUUUGUGGGGAUCAUUCCCACUGCUUAGAAUAUUUUUCCUCUAUUUAUCUGUAUGGCUUCUCCUUCAAAUCUUUGGUCAAAUUUCACCUUUGAGUGAGACUCACACUAUCUACCCAAUUAAAAUGGCCACUGCCAGUGUCUCCUUCCCCUGCACUUUUCAUCCUUUUUAUUCUCCGUGAUGCAUCUAUAGCACUCAUCACCUUCAAAGGCACUUAUCUAAUGUUUAAGUAUGUAUUGUCUGUUUCCCUCACUAGAAUAUAACGCACAAAUACAAGGAUUUUGUGUGUUUUGUUCCUCGAUGGAUCUCAAGUACUUAGAUAAGUGCCUGAUACAUAGUAGACACUGAGAAAAUAUUUGUUGAAUGAAUGAAUAAGUGAAAAGCAGAGACAUUUAAAUGAAGACUGAACAGAGCCUCCCCUAAACUUUCUCCCACUCUCUGCUACUUCUUCCAGCAUUAAAAAAAAAAAACAGGCAGAACAUGAACUGCUCAACCCUCAAACAGGACUUGGGGGAAAGAAAACAAUCUUAGUCCUAGAUACAAAGGGAAGAAAGUCAAGAAAUCACUCACAUUAUAUCAGAGGAAAGAGAAUGCCAGGAAGGUACCAGGGAAGAGUAAUUAAGAUGAAAAGAAACAGAACAGUAACCUGUAAACAUACCAAGAAAAAAUAAGGUAAUGUAAGAAAUUUUUCAUGCAAAAGACAAACAGAGCACCAUAUAGAUAAAAAUACAACUCAGAGAACAGAAGGAAAUCCCUCAGAGCUUCUUUUUGCUGUAAAACAAGUUACUGAAAACAUGAAUUCAAUAAAACAAGAGUUUGGAAUCAUGCUUCUGGCAAUGAUGGACUAUUUUGUAGUAGACCAAUUCUCCUGCUGAGAAGGUGUAGACUAGCAGAGCAGAUUAACAUGCAUGCAUACACACACACACACACACACACCCCCAUCUGAAGGCAUCAGACAGCUACCAAGGCAGUGAGUACUUGAGAAGGCAGAGAGAAGAGAGAUAGCUGAGACUGACAUUUGGCACCAUUAUUUCCCCUCCAAGCUUUUUGGUUAAGAGGUGACUGCAAGGCUAGGAAGUUGAGGAUAAAUCUAAAGCUUAGGGAGAAAAAGGCUAAGCAGAACUUCUGUAAGUCUCAUGGGGCUGGGAUAAAACAAUCAAACUUCAGACCCACAGAAGAGGAAGAAACCUGGUAAGAAACACCUUGAACAUUCAGCUGGGAUCACCAAAAGCAUAGAUACGCCAAAUAAGGAUAACUCAUAAAUUGCCCAGCCUUUACAAAAAUAAAAAUAAAAAAGGUUUGAAUGAGCUCAAUCUCUAUUGGGAUUAAGAAGAUCUUUAUUCCUAUUUGCUCCCUAAAAGUAAAUCUUAUUCAGAGUAAGAUAUCAUUGUUUAGAGCUUCAAUUUAUCUUGACAAUUUAUUGCAUGCAAUGUCUGAUAGUCAAUCAAAAAUAACCUGGCAUGCAAAAAAAAAAAAAAAAAAAAAAAAAAAA
Long non-coding RNA from Macaca fascicularis (crab-eating macaque), 1590 nucleotides. NCBI's taxonomy places the organism in Eukaryota, Metazoa, Chordata, Mammalia, Primates, Cercopithecidae. The record is from Ensembl.